Molecule: long non-coding RNA, 1209 nt
Organism: Sycon ciliatum
Lineage: Eukaryota; Metazoa; Porifera; Calcarea; Leucosolenida; Sycettidae
Exons: 4
Source: RefSeq, a predicted model, not a curated record
CAUACUGGUGCUCGAUGUUUUCAGUUUGGGGACACCAAAAUUAGUGUACCGCUAAAGACACGUGGUCGACACGUUGUUGACACGUUGUUGACACUUUGUUGACACGUGACCCAAUUACCGGCCUACCAAGUGCCUUUGGCGACCGCUAACAGCAACUGUGGAACAGUGCAGUGCCCUUUUUUGGAGCAACGUACGAGUAGUGCCCAUGGAUUAUGACCCCGCGACCCCAAUCUACGUGGCGGUCCGCAAUUCGCUACUUCAUACUGACUGGCGUCCGGCAUCGUCCCGAAUUUGGCCACAAUCUGCUCUCGGGACCCCUAUAGGGCUCCCUGACCUGCUCCAUCUCCGCCAUCGUCAAUGUACUGCGCAUCCACCCAGGCCAGGACUGCACUUACUUACGAGAAGGAGUAUUUGCAAGAUGGAACCUGGGAACUGGAAGACGACGAAGAGGAAGCGUGGGAAUCCGGCGGCAAUGGCUGGGAUGCUGCGUUCUCGAGAGGAAGCGUUAUUUCUGCAUUCCAAGAAGGACGGCACAAUGUGUCGGACUGUCCGCGUCGCAUUGAACUGGUCCGAUGAGGCUGCUAUUGCACACACAGUGUGGGCACUCCCAUACGGGAACUCGGAAGUACUGCUACAGUACAGGUAUAUCACCCCGUGACGACCACAUCGAAGUCUGAAAUUGAAGUGUGAAGAUGCUUCAGCAACCCCUUCAUAUUUUUCCAUUGCUUUUAUUGUGCUUCUACUGUGCAUGUGUGUAACUUGUGGGGUAUGCAUGUGAUGACAAUGUAUGCCGGUGACACAGUCAGAUUUUGUCAAUGCGUGUAACGUACACCUGCAUGCUAUCGUUGAAAAGGAUCUGCCACUUACGAUCUUCGGACGAGUAUCAGGUCAGCUUGGUUUUGUGUGUGCUGUACCAGAUGCUGUUCACUUCUCUAUCUGUUGGAUAUGUGACUUUCUGCAAGUUUCUGGUGUAUGGUGGCCACUUCUUUGCUUGUCUUUAAAUGACAUUACCAUAAUUCUGUAUUCACUGCUUCCAUGGUGUGGUCUGCAAACUGCAAUCCUUAGGCAAAUAUCAUCACGGUUUGCAAUGUUGUGCUUUGGCCGCCAGCUUACCUACACAUUGUAGUUGAAUUAUUUUUGUUUCACAACUGACUUCCUGAAGUAUGGUGGCCACUGCUUUCCAUGGCAUUAUACAAUGUUCAUCAAGAA